CCUACGGGAGGCAGCAGUGGGGAAUAUUGCACAAUGGGGGAAACCCUGAUGCAGCGACGCCGCGUGAGUGAAGAAGUAUUUCGGUAUGUAAAGCUCUAUCAGCAGGGAAGAAAAUGACGGUUCCUGAUUAAGAAGCCCCGGCUAACUACGUGCCAGCAGCCGCGGGAAUACGUAGGGGGCAAUCGUUAUCCGGAUUUACUGGGAGUAAAGGGAGCGUAGACGGCAGAGCAAGUCUGGAGUGAAAGGCCGGGGCUUAACCCCGGGACUGCUUUGGAAACUGUGCAGCUAGAGUGCAGGAGAGGUAAGUGGAAUUCCUAGUGUAGCGGUGAAAUGCGUAGAUAUUAGGAGGAACACCAGUGGCGAAGGCAGCUUACUGGACUGUAACUGACGUUGAGGCUCGAAAGCGUGGGGAGCAAACAGGAUUAGAUACCCCAGUAGUC
This 440-nucleotide ribosomal RNA is filed under the name uncultured bacterium. RNAcentral describes it as "partial 16S ribosomal RNA". It matches the Rfam family "Bacterial small subunit ribosomal RNA", at positions 338 to 795 of the family's 1533-position model. The record is from RNAcentral.